RNAcentral lists this ribosomal RNA (502 nucleotides) under uncultured bacterium. RNAcentral describes it as "partial 16S ribosomal RNA". It matches the Rfam family "Bacterial small subunit ribosomal RNA", at positions 30 to 523 of the family's 1533-position model. The record is from RNAcentral.
AUUGAACGCUGGCGGAAUGCUUUACACAUGCAAGUCGAACGGCAGCAUAGGUGCUUGCACCUGAUGGCGAGUGGCGAACGUGUGAGUAAUCUAUCGGCACGUGCCCUGUCGUGGGGGAUAACUUAGUGAAAAUUACGCUAAUACCGCAUACGAUCUAAGGCUAACAGCGGGGGAUCGCAAGACCUCGCGCGAUUGGAGCGGCCGAUAUCAGAUUAGGUAGUUGGUGAGGUAAAGGCUCACCAAGCCAACGAUCUGUAGCUGGUCUGAGAGGACGACCAGCCACACUGGGACUGAGACACGGCCCAGACUCCUACGGGAGGCAGCAGUGGGGAAUUUUGGACAAUGGACGCAAGUCUGAUCCAGCCAUUCCGCGUGCAGGACGAAGGCCUUCGGGUUGUAAACUGCUUUUGUACGGAACGAAAAGGUCUCUAUUAAUACUAGGGGCUCAUGACGGUACCGUAAGAAUAAGCACCGGCUAACUACGUGCCAGCCGCCGCCGUAA